Molecule: ribosomal RNA, 253 nt
Filed under: uncultured bacterium
Lineage: Bacteria
Description: partial 16S ribosomal RNA
Rfam family: Bacterial small subunit ribosomal RNA
Source: RNAcentral
UACGUAGGGUGCGAGCGUUAAUCGGAAUUACUGGGCGUAAAGCGUGCGCAGGCGGUUUUGUAAGCCAGAUGUGAAAGCCCCGGGCUUAACCUGGGAAUGGCAUUUGGGACUGCAAGGCUUGAGUGCGGCAGAGGAGACUGGAAUUCCCGGUGUAGCGGUGAAAUGCGCAGAUAUCGGGAAGAACACCCGUGGCGAAGGCGGUUCUCUGGGACGGUACUGACGCUGAGACGCGAAAGCGUGGGGAGCGAACAGG